GUCGAGCGGGGAAGAUUGCUUCGGUGAUUGACCUAGCGGCGGACGGGUGAGUAAUACUUAGGAAUCUGCCUAUUAAUGGGGGACAACAUCUCGAAAGGGAUGCUAAUACCGCAUACGCCCUACGGGGGAAAGCAGGGGAUCACUUGUGACCUUGCGUUAAUAGAUGAGCCUAAGUCGGAUUAGCUAGUUGGUGGGGUAAAGGCCUACCAAGGCGACGAUCUGUAGCGGGUCUGAGAGGAUGAUCCGCCACACUGGGACUGAGACACGGCCCAGACUCCUACGGGAGGCAGCAGUGGGGAAUAUUGGACAAUGGGGGGAACCCUGAUCCAGCCAUGCCGCGUGUGUGAAGAAGGCCUUAUGGUUGUAAAGCACUUUAAGCGAGGAGGAGGCUCCUAUAGUUAAUACCUAUAGUGAGUGGACGUUACUCGCAGAAUAAGCACCGGCUAACUCUGUGCCAGCAGCCGCGGUAAUACAGAGGGUGCGAGCGUUAAUCGGAUUUACUGGGCGUAAAGCGUGCGUAGGCGGCUUUUUAAGUCGGAUGUGAAAUCCCCGAGCUUAACUUGGGAAUUGCAUUCGAUACUGGGAAGCUAGAGUAUGGGAGAGGAUGGUAGAAUUCCAGGUGUAGCGGUGAAAUGCGUAGAGAUCUGGAGGAAUACCGAUGGCGAAGGCAGCCAUCUGGCCUAAUACUGACGCUGAGGUACGAAAGCAUGGGGAGCAAACAGGAUUAGAUACCCUGGUAGUCCAUGCCGUAAACGAUGUCUACUAGCCGUUGGGGCCUUUGAGGCUUUAGUGGCGCAGCUAACGCGAUAAGUAGACCGCCUGGGGAGUACGGUCGCAAGACUAAAACUCAAAUGAAUUGACGGGGGCCCGCACAAGCGGUGGAGCAUGUGGUUUAAUUCGAUGCAACGC
This 909-nucleotide ribosomal RNA is filed under the name Acinetobacter sp. MZ0429B. RNAcentral describes it as "bacterial SSU rRNA". It matches the Rfam family "Bacterial small subunit ribosomal RNA", at positions 61 to 962 of the family's 1533-position model. The record is from RNAcentral. Lineage: Bacteria; Pseudomonadati; Pseudomonadota; Gammaproteobacteria; Moraxellales; Moraxellaceae.